AACGAACGCUGGCGGCGCGCCUAAUACAUGCAAGUCGAGCGAGAAGGUGUAGCAAUACACUUGUAAAGCGGCGAACGGGUGAGGAAUGCAUGGGUAACCUACCCUCGAGUGGGGAAUAACUAGCCGAAAGGUUAGCUAAUACCGCAUACGUUUCCGGAACUUCGGUUUCGGAAAGAAAGCAAUACCGUGGGUAUUGCGCUCCUGGAUGGGCUCAUGUCCUAUCAGCUUGUUGGUGAGGUAACGGCUCACCAAGGCUUCGACGGGUAGCUGGUCUGAGAGGACGAUCAGCCUCACUGGCACUGCGACACGGGCCAGACUCCUACGGGAGGCAGCAGUAAGGAAUAUUGCGCAAUGGACGAAAGUCUGACGCAGCGACGCCGCGUGGGGGAUGAAGGUCUUCGGGUUGUAGAGCACUUUCACCGGAGAAGAUAAUGACGGUAUCCGGAGAAGAAGCCCCGGCUAACUUCGUGCCAGCAGCCGCGGUAAU
RNAcentral lists this ribosomal RNA (487 nucleotides) under uncultured bacterium. Its description in RNAcentral is "bacterial SSU rRNA". It matches the Rfam family "Bacterial small subunit ribosomal RNA", at positions 29 to 524 of the family's 1533-position model. The record is from RNAcentral.